UACAGAGGUGGCAAGCGUUGUUCGGAAUUACUGGGCGUAAAGGGCGCGUAGGCGGUCCCGUCAGUCCCUUGUGAAAUCCCCCGGCUCAACUGGGGAACUGCAAGGGAUACAGCGGGGCUUGAGUUCGGGAGAGGGAUGCGGAAUUCCAGGUGUAGUGGUGAAAUGCGUAGAUAUCAGGAGGAACACCGAUGGCGAAGGCAGCUCGCUGGGACGGUACUGACGCUGAGGCGCGAAAGCGUGGGGAGCGAACAGG
RNAcentral lists this ribosomal RNA (253 nucleotides) under uncultured bacterium. RNAcentral describes it as "partial 16S ribosomal RNA". It matches the Rfam family "Bacterial small subunit ribosomal RNA", at positions 524 to 776 of the family's 1533-position model. The record is from RNAcentral.